AACUGUGUGGCUCAGUCGGUUGGGCAUCUGACUUCGGCUCAGGUCAUGAUCUCACAGUUG
RNAcentral lists this transfer RNA (60 nucleotides) under Felis catus (domestic cat). Lineage: Eukaryota; Metazoa; Chordata; Mammalia; Carnivora; Felidae. The record is from Rfam by way of RNAcentral.